CAUCAGGGAGCCAUGUCAAAAGGUUACUACGGGCCGACCCCAAUAUUCAGCUUCACCAGAGAAUCCCUUUAACACUAUAAGACAGUUUUGGAUGAAUCAUUUUUGUCACAGGGAUGGAGGAAAAAAACAAAAAUGAAAAGCUGGUCCUUAAGGCUACUUUGACUACUAAUACAAUAUCUUUACACAGACAAUAAGAGGUCAAGUAACGGUAAUAUUUGGCAUUUUUAAUUUAGGUUUUGUUUAUUUAAGUUUAAUGUUAAUUCCAUGCUGUGUUUCAGUAAGAACAAUGACAGAUUCUGUAUCUGUGGCUCCAGUCAGAUAUCCAGUAGUACAAAUUAGCUUCAAGUUACACAUACUGAACAAAAGAGGUUGAGCAAGAGAAAAGGAGGGCAGAAGGGGGGGGGGGGGGGGGGAUAGAAAAACAAAAAAAUUUAACACGCAUGCAGGCUAUUCAACACCAGCUCCAAUGCUAACCUGCUCUGAGGAGGGAAAGUAAAAAGGAGGCAAGAAUGAAUAAACACGGAUUGUUGACGUGAUACCAGCACCAGAGUUUUCAGCGACAUUUUUGCACAGUUUUGAAAACACUUUUACAGCAAAAACCACUACAAGGACAUUCUGAAGCAAUCUGCGACAUCAAGCUCUAACCACAUUUUAAACAACAGAAUGAAGUUCAGUUUCAAACAUUUAGAAAAUAAAAAAA
This is a long non-coding RNA of Nanorana parkeri, 700 nucleotides long. RefSeq lists it as uncharacterized. The record is from RefSeq and is a predicted model, not a curated record. NCBI's taxonomy places the organism in Eukaryota, Metazoa, Chordata, Amphibia, Anura, Dicroglossidae. The transcript has 3 exons.